Molecule: ribosomal RNA, 492 nt
Filed under: uncultured bacterium
Lineage: Bacteria
Description: partial 16S ribosomal RNA
Rfam family: Bacterial small subunit ribosomal RNA
Source: RNAcentral
AGUGAACGCUGGCGGUAGGCCUAACACAUGCCAGUCGAACGGCAGCACAGUAAGAGCUUGCUCUUACGGGUGGCGAGUGGCGGACGGGUGAGGAAUACAUCGGAAUCUACUUUUUCGUGGGGGAAAACGUAGGGAAACUUACGCUAAUACCGCAUACGACCUACGGGUGAAAGCAGGGGAUCUUCGGACCUUGCGCGAUUGAAUGAGCCGAUGUCGGAUUAGCUAGUUGGCGGGGUAAAGGCCCACCAAGGCGACGAUCCGUAGCUGGUCUGAGAGGAUGAUCAGCCACACUGGAACUGAGACACGGUCCAGACUCCUACGGGAGGCAGCAGUGGGGAAUAUUGGACAAUGGGCGCAAGCCUGAUCCAGCCAUACCGCGUGGGUGAAGAAGGCCUUCGGGUUGUAAAGCCCUUUUGUUGGGAAAGAAAAGCAGCAGGUUAAUACCCCGCUGUUCUGACGGUACCCAAAGAAUAAGCACCGGCUAACUUCGUG